AGAGGGUGCGAGCGUUGUCCGGAAUCACUGGGCGUAAAGGGCGCGUAGGCGGUUCGCUAAGCGUGCGGUGAAAGCUCGGGGCUCAACCCCGCGUCGGCCGUGCGAACUGGUGGACUGGAGCAUGUCAGAGGCAGGCGGAAUUCCGGGUGUAGCGGUGGAAUGCGUAGAGAUCCGGAAGAACACCGGUGGCGAAGGCGGCCUGCUGGGACAUUGCUGACGCUGAGGCGCGACAGCGUGGGGAGCAAACAGGAUUAGAUACCCUGGUAGUCCACGCCGUAAACGAUGGGCACUAGGUGCUUGGGGGAGCGACCCCCUGAGUGCCGGCGCUAACGCAUUAAGUGCCCCGCCUGGGGAGUACGGCCGCAAGGCUG
Molecule: ribosomal RNA, 371 nt
Filed under: uncultured bacterium
Lineage: Bacteria
Description: bacterial SSU rRNA
Rfam family: Bacterial small subunit ribosomal RNA
Source: RNAcentral